This 972-nucleotide long non-coding RNA is filed under the name Brassica napus (rape). Its description in RNAcentral is "long non-coding RNA (BNAP_LNC027209)". The record is from RNAcentral. Lineage: Eukaryota; Viridiplantae; Streptophyta; Magnoliopsida; Brassicales; Brassicaceae.
AAAACUAUCAGACUUUGGUUUAGUGAGAGACUGUCCAAAGGGAGUCAUGGGUACAUUUGGCUAUGCGACUCCACAGUAUGUGUCAACAGGUACAUUCUAUAUAUUCUCAUAUACCAAACUGGUUUUAUUGUGAAUUUUCAAGAGUAGCGAAAGAAGCAAUCAUAUAUGAUUCUAUAUGUUUGUGUGAUUCUCAGAUCGGGAUGCUCGCAAUUCUCGAGAAAGUGGGAUUGAUAAAUAAUGUUUGAGAAAACGUAAAAAGAGCUAAGUCGCUGCUUACAAAGUGAAGAUGCAAAUAUAUAUAUAGAAAAAGGAGAGUUUUUUUUUCUUUUACUGGAAAGAUAAUUUUGUUUUGAAAAUAAUAUUAACAGUUUAUAUUAUUGCUAAGCAGAAACUAUUUAAAUUUUAGUGAACAUUUAGAAAUGUAUAUUUUACCCUCAAUUGAAUAUAACCUGAAUUUCCACAAUUUUAAUUUUAUUAUUUUUAUAAAUUAUAUGGUUAAUUUAAUUUAUAUUUUUUUUUACUAUUGAUAGUUAAAUUUUUUCAUUCUACUUUAGUUAUAAUAAUAAGUAAAAUAAAAUAAGUGUCUGCAAAAAAUAUCUUAAAACAUAAAUGAUGGGGUUAUUUUCGGCUUUAUCCAUUUAUUAUAGUUACAAUAAAAUUUCAUUAUAAACUUAUACACAUAGUUUAAACCAAAUAAAGUGCGAUAGUUGUUAAAAAAAAAAGUGUGCGAUAGGCACCAUGCAUUUACGUCGGUACAUUUUGAAAGAAAAAUAUACAAUAGCCUUACACUAAUCACUAUGUUUUUUUCUUAUCAAAUCACUAUGUUAUUUCGAUAGAGAGAGGUAUUAAAUAAUUAGCUAUGUUUUGACCAAAAGAUAAAUAAUUAGAUAUGUAGGCCUAUGUUGCAUGGAAACUCCGUUGAAGGUCCGUUUCACGUUUCGGAAACGUUUCGGAAUCGGAAUCUCUCGGAAA